Molecule: transfer RNA, 100 nt
Filed under: Platycodon grandiflorus (balloon flower)
Lineage: Eukaryota; Viridiplantae; Streptophyta; Magnoliopsida; Asterales; Campanulaceae
Also listed under: 1 other name
Description: partial tRNA-Leu
Source: RNAcentral
AAAAUCCGUCGAUUUUAGAAAUCGUGAGGGUUCAAGUCCCUCUAUCCCCAAAAAGCCCGUUUUACGGAUUUUACUGUCUAACUAUUUAUUCUAUCCUUUU